Molecule: ribosomal RNA, 557 nt
Filed under: uncultured bacterium
Lineage: Bacteria
Description: bacterial SSU rRNA
Rfam family: Bacterial small subunit ribosomal RNA
Source: RNAcentral
CCUACGGGAGGCAGCAGUGGGGAAUCUUGCACAAUGGAGGAAACUCUGAUGCAGCGAUGCCGCGUGAGUGAAGAAGGCCUUUGGGUUGUAAAGCUCUUUUGUAGGGGAAGAUAAUGACUGUACCCUAAGAAUAAGGUCCGGCUAACUUCGUGCCAGCAGCCGCGGUAAUACGAAGGGACCUAGCGUAGUUCGGAAUUACUGGGCGUAAAGCGCGCGUAGGCCGUUGAGUUAGUUAAUUGUGAAAUCCCAAAGCUUAACUUUGGAACUGCAAUUAAAACUGCUCGACUAGAGUUUGAUAGAGGAAAGCGGAAUACAUAGUGUAGAGGUGAAAUUCGUAGAUAUUAUGUAGAACACCAGUUGCGAAGGCGGCUUUCUGGAUCAACACUGACGCUGAGGCGCGAAAGUAUGGGUAGCAAAGAGGAUUAGAUACCCUCGUAGUCCAUACCAUAAACGAUGAUUGCUAGAUGUUGGAAAUUUAUUUUCAGUAUCGCAGCUAACGCAUUAAGCAAUCCGCCUGGGGAGUACGACCGCAGGUUAAAACUCAAAUGAAUUGACGG